GAAUAGGACCUUACAGGACAAUAUAUAUUUUCUAUAAGUCUAUAGUAAUGUCACGUGUAUUAAACUUGCUCAUUUUAUUUUGUAGAAUUGGCCAAUAAAGGUAAACUAAUAUUCUUACUUUCUUACCAACGUACAAAAUAUUACAGUCCAGAAGCUCUGCCUCUUUUUCGCGAACCAAUAAGAGGCCUGUAUUGAGAUGUGGCAUUCUUUCAAUUUUUUUGGCGCCAUUUGUGGGCAAUUUCUUGACUAAACAACCUGCAGCUGCCGCCCCGGACGCUGCAAGGCGUGGAGCGGCGGAUUGUUAGGAAAAGUGAUGGCUGGGGGAUGGACACUGACCACUGUACAAUACAAAGAAGAUUUGGAAGAUGUCAAUGCUGUGGGAGUACAGUUUCAUUUUCAAGCCCAGAUGUCUCAUGAAGGAAGCAAGCUUUAAGAAGACGACUGACCAGGUGAGGCUUUUGUUUAUUCCGCCAACCCAUAGAGUUAGGGUGGGGCGUUUGAAGGAGUCUUAUCAGUUGUUAACAAUUUAGUUGUUUUAAGUAGGGAAUAUUUGGACAAGUGCCUUGUGAGAAUUACUCGUAUGCUAUUUUAACAUGUUAAAUACAUGUGGGUACAGGGAUAGAGUUUCUGAAAUGUUAGACAUGUAAGUAGAAAGGUCUGAAGACCCAGUAAUUUUUAUGAUUGUUAUACUUGUAAUGUAAGAGAUUGUACUGAGUCUACCAAAACAUGUUUGGCAAUCUUGAAAGUGAAAAUAAGAAUUUCUCUGUGCUAUUUCUUGCACCUGUUCAUGCCUUGGCUUGGUCCCUGAUGCUCACA
Long non-coding RNA from Branchiostoma floridae (Florida lancelet), 816 nucleotides. RefSeq lists it as uncharacterized. The record is from RefSeq and is a predicted model, not a curated record. The transcript is spliced from 3 exons. NCBI's taxonomy places the organism in Eukaryota, Metazoa, Chordata, Leptocardii, Amphioxiformes, Branchiostomatidae.